This 540-nucleotide ribosomal RNA is filed under the name Bifidobacterium breve. RNAcentral describes it as "bacterial SSU rRNA". It matches the Rfam family "Bacterial small subunit ribosomal RNA", at positions 161 to 710 of the family's 1533-position model. The record is from RNAcentral. Lineage: Bacteria; Bacillati; Actinomycetota; Actinomycetes; Bifidobacteriales; Bifidobacteriaceae.
UGGUAAUGCCGGAUGCUCCAUCACACUGCAUGGUGUGUUGGGAAAGCCUUUGCGGCAUGGGAUGGGGUCGCGUCCUAUCAGCUUGAUGGCGGGGUAACGGCCCACCAUGGCUUCGACGGGUAGCCGGCCUGAGAGGGCGACCGGCCACAUUGGGACUGAGAUACGGCCCAGACUCCUACGGGAGGCAGCAGUGGGGAAUAUUGCACAAUGGGCGCAAGCCUGAUGCAGCGACGCCGCGUGAGGGAUGGAGGCCUUCGGGUUGUAAACCUCUUUUGUUAGGGAGCAAGGCAUUUUGUGUUGAGUGUACCUUUCGAAUAAGCACCGGCUAACUACGUGCCAGCAGCCGCGGUAAUACGUAGGGUGCAAGCGUUAUCCGGAAUUAUUGGGCGUAAAGGGCUCGUAGGCGGUUCGUCGCGUCCGGUGUGAAAGUCCAUCGCUUAACGGUGGAUCCGCGCCGGGUACGGGCGGGCUUGAGUGCGGUAGGGGAGACUGGAAUUCCCGGUGUAACGGUGGAAUGUGUAGAUAUCGGAAAAGAACACC